CCACAGUCCAUGAGGUCACAAAGAGUCAGACAUGACUGAAGCGACCUAGCAUGCACUCACACCGUAACUAAAGGUAGAAAACCUGGAUGAUGGGCAGACAUAAGUGACCUUUCAUUUUUCUCUUGCAAUGGUCUUCCAUCCCGUACAUGUUCCCGUCCUCCACAUUCAGAAAUGAGAUGUUGGUGGACUCCCAGAGAAAGUUCAGUUUCCCACAGAUGACUCAGAGUUGGGUUUUAUGCAGCAGCAGGUCCCGUAAAGGACCCAUGUGGAUAUUUUGGUGUUCUCGGCUGAAGGAUGCUUUAGAAGCGUAAAGCCACC
RNAcentral lists this long non-coding RNA (318 nucleotides) under Capra hircus (goat). RNAcentral's name for it is "lncRNA (ENSCHIG00000005618.1)". The record is from RNAcentral. Lineage: Eukaryota; Metazoa; Chordata; Mammalia; Artiodactyla; Bovidae.